CGGGGUGUGGCUCAGCUUGGCUAGAGCGCCUGGUUUGGGACCAGGAGGUCGCAGGUUCGAAUCCUGUCACCCCGACUA
This 78-nucleotide transfer RNA is filed under the name Agathobacter rectalis. RNAcentral's name for it is "tRNA-Pro". It matches the Rfam family "tRNA". From Rfam's summary of the family: Transfer RNA (tRNA) molecules are approximately 80 nucleotides in length. Their secondary structure includes four short double-helical elements and three loops (D, anti-codon, and T loops). Lineage: Bacteria; Bacillati; Bacillota; Clostridia; Lachnospirales; Lachnospiraceae. RNAcentral also lists the same sequence under 8 other names. The record is from RNAcentral.